UACGUAGGGUGCAAGCGUUGUCCGGAAUUAUUGGGCGUAAAGAGCUCGUAGGCGGUUUGUCGCGUCGAAUGUGAAAACCCGGGGCUCAACCCCGGGCCUGCAUUCGAUACGGGCAGACUAGAGUUCGGUAGGGGAGCCUGGAAUUCCUGGUGUAGCGGUGAAAUGCGCAGAUAUCAGGAGGAACACCGGUGGCGAAGGCGGGACUCUGGGCCGAUACUGACGCUGAGGAGCGAAAGCGUGGGGAGCAAACAGG
Molecule: ribosomal RNA, 253 nt
Filed under: uncultured bacterium
Lineage: Bacteria
Description: partial 16S ribosomal RNA
Rfam family: Bacterial small subunit ribosomal RNA
Source: RNAcentral